GCGCGUCUACCGCCGAAACGCUUCGGGGAGCUGGAAGUAAGCAUUGAUCCGGAGGUACCCGAAUGAGGAAACUCUUAAUACUACCUGCUCAAUCUAUAGGCAGGUAAGAGCGAACCUGGUGAAUUGAAACAUCUUAGUAACCAGAGGAAAAGAAAGCAAAAGCGAUUCCCAUAGUAGCGGCGAGCGAAAAGGGACCAGCCC
Molecule: ribosomal RNA, 201 nt
Filed under: Hemiselmis virescens
Lineage: Eukaryota; Cryptophyceae; Cryptomonadales; Hemiselmidaceae
Description: partial Bacterial large subunit ribosomal RNA
Rfam family: Bacterial large subunit ribosomal RNA
Source: RNAcentral